UCUGGGCACACCAUCCUUCCCGGCCAAGUCGUGUGGAAAGACAUCCAAGACACCCUUGGCCUUGGAUCACUUUCUGGAAGAAGAUCCAGGAGGGGGCAUCUCUUUUGCAUGGUUUCUCGUGAUACUGAGGGUAUACUGUGGAUCAGCCCUGCAGGGGCAGCAAGCUGAAGAACAAAGCCAGAACCUAUGAAGAAGUUCUGGAGAUUGUGUCGAAAACAGCACAAGUAUUCAACAGAUGUCACAGAUUUUUCACCAUUUCUCUGUAUGUACAAUAAAUGCUCAGUCCUGUACUCUAUGACUUGU
Molecule: long non-coding RNA, 303 nt
Organism: Ornithodoros turicata
Lineage: Eukaryota; Metazoa; Arthropoda; Arachnida; Ixodida; Argasidae
Exons: 3
Source: RefSeq, a predicted model, not a curated record